GUGCAGCAGUCGCGAAAACUUCACACUGUGCGAAAGCACGAUGAGGGAAUCCCAAGUGCUUGCACGUAAGUGUAAGCUGUUUCUCUGUUUAAAACGCAGAGAGAGUAAGGGCUGGGUAAGACGGGUGCCAGCCGCCGCGGUAAUACCUGCAGCUCAAGUGGUGACCGUUAUUAUUGGGCCUAAAACGUCCGUAGCCGGUUUAAUAAAUGCCUGGGUAAAUCGUGUAGCUUAACUAUACGAAUUCCGGGUAGACUGUUAAACUCGAGACCGGGAGAAGUUAGAGGUACUCCUGGGGUAGAGGUGAAAUUCUGUAAUCCUAGGGGGACCACCAGUGGCGAAGGCGUCUAACUAGAACGGGUCUGACGGUGAGGGACGAAGCCCUGGGGCGCAAACGGGAUUAGAUACCCCCGUAGU
Molecule: ribosomal RNA, 414 nt
Filed under: uncultured microorganism
Description: bacterial SSU rRNA
Rfam family: Archaeal small subunit ribosomal RNA
Source: RNAcentral